CAAGCGUCCCAACAAUAUGACAAAUACCGACGCGUCAAAAGGCGUCGUCGUAUAAACUCUCUAUUGUAUCAAAUUAAUUUAUUAAAUGAUAAAAUUUACAAAUUAUUUUUAAUUUUCUGACGUUUUAAGGCGUUAGGACUUAAAGAAUAUCCUAAAAAUUCUAAUACUUUAAAACAUCAAAAUAUAUUUUAUCGAUACUUGGCAUAACCAUUGAUAUAUACGAGACGGCUCUUUAUUUAUCAAUGUUUUAACUGACGAUUUCAGAUAUAACGUUAGACUAUUUUAGAACGCUCUUAAGUGUUAUUAAAUAUAAAAAAAAAUGAAUUUCAAUAUUAAUUUUUUUUU
This 345-nucleotide long non-coding RNA is filed under the name Ananas comosus (pineapple). Its description in RNAcentral is "long non-coding RNA (ACOM_LNC004357)". The record is from RNAcentral. Lineage: Eukaryota; Viridiplantae; Streptophyta; Magnoliopsida; Poales; Bromeliaceae.